ACCCGCUGAACUUAAGCAUAUCAAUAAGCGGAGGAAAAGAAACCAACAGGGAUUGCCUCAGUAACGGCGAGUGAAGCGGCAAGAGCUCAAAUUUGAAAGCUGGCCCCCUCGGGGUCCGCGUUGUAAUUUGCAGAGGAUGCUUCGGGUGCAGCCCCCGUCUAAGUGCCCUGGAACGGGCCGUCAUAGAGGGUGAGAAUCCCGUCUGGGACGGGGUGCCUGCGUCCGUGUGAAGCUCCUUCGACGAGUCGAGUUGUUUGGGAAUGCAGCUCUAAAUGGGUGGUAAAUUUCAUCUAAAGCUAAAUACUGGCCGGAGACCGAUAGCGCACAAGUAGAGUGAUCGAAAGAUGAAAAGCACUUUGAAAAGAGAGUUAAACAGCACGUGAAAUUGUUGAAAGGGAAGCGUUUGCGACCAGACUCGCCCGCGGGGUUCAGCCGGCAUUCGUGCCGGUGUACUUCCCCGUGGGCGGGCCAGCGUCGGUUUGGGCGGCCGGUCAAAGGCCCUCGGAAUGUAUCACCUCUCGGGGUGUCUUAUAGCCGAGGGUGCAAUGCGGCCUGCCCGGACCGAGGAACGCGCUUCGGCUCGGACGCUGGCGUAAUGGUCGU
Molecule: ribosomal RNA, 603 nt
Filed under: uncultured fungus
Lineage: Eukaryota; Fungi
Description: eukaryotic LSU rRNA
Rfam family: Eukaryotic large subunit ribosomal RNA
Source: RNAcentral